RNAcentral lists this ribosomal RNA (402 nucleotides) under uncultured Coriobacteriaceae bacterium. RNAcentral's name for it is "bacterial SSU rRNA". It matches the Rfam family "Bacterial small subunit ribosomal RNA", at positions 355 to 774 of the family's 1533-position model. The record is from RNAcentral. Lineage: Bacteria; Bacillati; Actinomycetota; Coriobacteriia; Coriobacteriales; Coriobacteriaceae.
UGGGGAAUAUUGCGCAAUGGGCGAAAGCCUGACGCAGCAACGCCGCGUGCGGGAUGAAGGCCUUCGGGUUGUAAACCGCUUUCAGCAGGGACGAAACCGACGGUACCUGCAGAAGAAGCCCCGGCUAACUACGUGCCAGCAGCCGCGGUAAUACGUAGGGGGCUAGCGUUAUCCGGAUUCAUUGGGCGUAAAGCGCGCGUAGGCGGGCUGUUAAGUCAGGUGUGAAAACCGGGGGCUCAACCCGCGGCCUGCACCUGAAACUGGCAGCCUCGAGUCUGGUAGAGGAAAGUGGAAUUCCCAGUGUAGCGGUGAAAUGCGCAGAUAUUGGGAGGAACACCAGUGGCGAAGGCGGCUUUCUGGGCCACGACUGACGCUGAGGCGCGAAAGCCAGGGGAGCGAACG